This 350-nucleotide unclassified non-coding RNA is filed under the name uncultured fungus. RNAcentral describes it as "sequence contains ITS1". Lineage: Eukaryota; Fungi. The record is from RNAcentral.
GAGAGGAAGCCGCGUCCAGGAUCUCCUUUGGGCGUUGCUGAAUAGCAAAGCGUUUCUGUACAUCUAUUAACCGUUAACCGUUAACGGUAAACGGUAAACGGUAAACGGUGAACUAGAAGGGCGCACAUCAUGCUGAAUCUUCCCGGACGCCGCGGCUGCAACUGCGAGGGACCCACUCGACGCGAACUGCUCCGUAUCGGCUCCAUCGGCAUGAUGGGACUGAGCCUGCCGCAUUUCUUCUUCUGGCAGGACCAGGCCCAUGCCGCCGCCGCGGCGAACAAAUACGCCGGCGUCCGCGGCUGGGGUGCGGCCAAGAACGUUGUGAUGAUCUUCCUUCAGGGCGGCCCGUC